AUUUCUUUGUAUCUUUGUUUCUCUGUUUAUUUAUUUAUUUAUUUAUUAAUUAAUUGACGCCCUUACCUGCAUUUGCAUCGGCCUCCCGUCUCCUUGCCUGGCACACCCUGACAACCAAAAACAAGGGAAUUCUGAUUCUGCGCAUUGAUCAGCUUCACAGCUGCUGCAACACACACACACACACACACACGUGUGUGUGUGAAUCGAUGAUGCAUCGAGAAGAGCCCUCCCACUCUACAGGAAGGAGAGAGAAGGAUGAUCCAGAUCCGGCCCAGCCACCUGGAAUUGUGCUCUGGGCCAGAGCACCUGGCUCUCCUGCUUCACAUUAGAGUGAGUGGACGUGGAGAUGGAAUCUGAGCUCCUCUCGGCUGCUGGCGUUUUCAUAAGUAGUGGUAGGCAAUACGAAGUUUCUUUCGCCUUGCCUUUCGCCCCCUCACUCCCUCGCUCGCUCUCUCUCUCCGUCUCUCUGGGCAUCUCCGCUCUUCUGUGGCACUCCCAGCCGGAGGGAAGGAUGGAAGGAGGGGGAGACGGAGGAGAGGAGAGAGGGAUGGAGAAGACGAAUAGAAGGGGGAGGAGGAGGAGGAGGGGGAGGAAGAGGGGGAUGAGGAGGAAUAAGGAGGAGGAGGAUGGUUUCUCUAUGGAUGAUACUGCUGGUGAACCCGACGCUAGCACCGGUUUGCCUCCAAACUGAACUCUGCCGAACACUCUUCCCCACUUACUAUCUGCUUUCAGGCAUUGGUCGAGAAUUACAGCCGCCCCAUCCAUACAAUUAAACAGCAGAUACUCCGGACCCCGCGUUCAGACCACCCGGUCAGCUCUGCUCUCUUAAUUUAAAAUAUUAAACGAGGGUUCUUCAGAGGUUGCUGUAGUUGCAGCAGUUUUUUAAGGCAG
RNAcentral lists this long non-coding RNA (891 nucleotides) under Astyanax mexicanus (Mexican tetra). RNAcentral describes it as "lncRNA (ENSAMXG00005008817.1)". Lineage: Eukaryota; Metazoa; Chordata; Actinopteri; Characiformes; Acestrorhamphidae. The record is from RNAcentral.